AUGAUCCCGUCGUCACUAUUUUUCUAUUCCCUGGAACAGAAAUACGUCCCUCCCGCACUCAGGGCUGGGGCCACGCCAGGGCGUGGUCCCCAGAGUGAGGAUUCUUUGGGGCUUGGAGGCUGCCCACCGGCCGCUCCCGUGAGGACCUUUGGAGAGUGGGAUGAGGGGUCUCCAGACGCGGAUCCAGAACGUCCCCCUGACGCUUCACUGCCACCCUGUGAGCAAGAAGAUGCUGUGAGAACACUCCGUCUUGCAUACGGGUGCAAACAAAAAGAACAAGCGCCGCCGCGAGCUGGAAGGAUCCGGGACCUUGGGAGAGAGGCCUGGAGGAGACCCUGGUGCUGCCGCUCACAGCCGCGUCCCUCUGCCGCUCUGGCCCUGUGCCCCUGCCACAAAGCAGUUCAUUCAUUUACCAGAUGUUUAUGGGAGCCCACUGUGUGCCGCGCACGGCUCUAGGUUCUGGAGAAACGAGAGUGAACGGAGCCACGUAGGAGUUUGCAGCCUGAAGGGAGCCAGACAGUGCACAUCAACAGAACAUGCCAGGCGUGCCCUCGCGGCGGAGCAGGUUGUGGAUCCAGCAUUGUCUCUGUAGUGGUUCGGGUCCCUGCUGUGGCAUGGUUUCCAUCCUUGGUCCAAGAGCUGCUGCGUGCUGCGGGCACAGCCAAAAGGGAAAAUUCAAUUCAAUUCAAUUGCAGCAAUAAAAUAAAAUAUGCUGGCUGGUGACUUGUGCAAGGAAAGAGUAGAAAGCUGGGUGGAGGGUGGCUUAUUUCCACAGGGUGGUCAGGGAGCUCCCAUCGUGGCACAGCAGAAACAAAUCUGACUAGCAUCAUGUGGAUGCAGGUUCAAUCCCUGGCCUUGCUCAAGGGGGUUAAGGAUCUGGCAUUGCCAUGAGCUGUGGUGUGGGCCACAGACAUAGCUCGGAUCUGGCGUUGCUGUGGCUGUGGUGCAGGCCGGCAACUACAGCUCCAGUUGAACUCCGAGCCUGGGAACCUCCGUAUGCCUCGAGUGCAGCCCUAAAAAGAUCAAAAGGGGGCGGCGGGGUGGCGGUGGGAUCUGAAGGAAGUGAAGAGUGAGCCAAGGGGGUCUCUAAGGGAAGAACGUUCCUGGCCCAGAGGACCGCAGGUACCAAGGCCCUGAGGUCUUUGUGCCCCAGUUUAUUGGAGGACCAGCAGGAAGCCUCAUGGGACUAGACUGCAAGACAGAGUCCAAGAGGUGGCUGGGGGCCUGCUUGGACAGGGCCUUGUAGACGAUGGGAAGUAAGGCUGGAGCCACUGGAGGGAAGGACAAGAUACGGUUUCUGUUUUGUUUUGUUUUUCUCUUUUUAGGGCCACACUCAUGGCAUGUGGAGGUUGCCAGGCUAGGGGUCUGAUCAGAGCUAUAGCUGCCAGCCUACACCACAGCCACAGCAAUGCAGGAUCCAAGCCGCACCUGCGACCUACGCCACAGCUCACGGCAACACUGGAUCCUUAACCCACUGAGCGAUGUCAGGGAUCGAACCUGUGUCCUCAUGGAUACCAGUCGGGUUCGUUUCCACUGUGCCACAGUGGGA
This 1549-nucleotide long non-coding RNA is filed under the name Sus scrofa (pig). RNAcentral describes it as "lncRNA (ENSSSCG00005024949.1)". The record is from RNAcentral. Lineage: Eukaryota; Metazoa; Chordata; Mammalia; Artiodactyla; Suidae.